CCCAGCGGGGGGCUGGGCCCGGCCCCCGCUCCGCUCCGCCGGACGGGACGGGCUGGAGGAGGAGGAGGAAGGCGGCGGGGACCGGGAGCGGGCCCGCGGCAAGUUUCGCCCGGAGUGGGGAAGUUGGACGCGGCCCGGCGGGACCCGGCCAGAUUCCUGGAAAUCUGAGGAGCAGUCUUCGGCGGCCAAAGAAUGCAAUUCUCCCCAGAGGUGUGGGUAUCUCGCGUGAAGGGGACUGAAGUAGGAUCAGCUGGUAUCCAAGAAGCACAACUUCAAGACAUUCAGGAGUACUUCGGAGUGAACUGGCAGGAAGCCUUGCAAUACCACGGUGGCAAUAACAGUGGCUGCCCUCUGGAGAUGCAAAAACUCAGCUUUAUUUUGAACUUCUUUCUUACACCUCCCAACCUGUGCGCAAAGGACUUAACAUUGAUUUGGAUUCAUGUGGUAUAAAAUAGUCAUGGGAGCUCUAGACUGUUGCUCAGGAUAAACAAUCAAACUGUUCUGGUGAGUGCUGCACUUUACACCUUCGCACCUGAGUAUGGUCAUACUGAGGAAGCGACCAGCUCUGCUGAAAAAAUCUAUGAGCUUGAGACAUUUGUAAAUAACAGGGUUGUUAGAAAGUCAGAAGACUAACCUUGCGCUAUGUUAGGGUAACUGUAGGACCAAUAAAAUGAACGUUUGCAACUCAAGAAAAGCUUGAAUUUCAAAAUGCCUACUGUACCAACCCAGGCAUGACUUAGCAGUAAUUGCUGUAGGAUAUCUAAAUUAAGCAAUGAGGUUUCUGCUGUGGCAACUGUUAGGAAAGACUUUGCAAUGCACAUCAAUUCCUCCAGGACCCAAAUGCACUUUUCCUUUCAAGGGGGAGUUGUGGGCAUUCAGAUCCUUGCAGACAAGUUACUGAGGCCCUAAAUGAGCAAAACGCUUUUAAGCGUAUCCUUAAGCACUUUGUUGUUGGUGAAGGGGAGACAUAAGCUCUUCAUUAUCUGUGCUGAACAGGGAGCUGGGAGGCUCCUUGAGUAUCUUUUAAAACACUUAUAUGCUAGCUGUGCCCUGAAAUGCAGAGCCCGAGAAGCUGCUGCCUUACCCUCUAGCUGCGCUUGUCUUCUGUGAAUAUGCUCACUAACCUUCAAGUAAAUGGUGCCUUGCAUCUGACUCUUUGUGGGAAUUUUGCCUAUCCCUAGUGCUUAUCAGUUUAGAAGAGUACGCAUAAUGCUCUAUUCAGCUUUAACUGGAGCACUUUAGAUAUGGUCCAUCUUAUCCAAAUACUGCUGAGCAUGGGAUUAUUAAAUAAUCUGAAAGACAAAUGGAGGAUGAAGCCAGGAGGGGAACUGACUUUGUCUUUUAGAUGCUCGCAUCUGUACCAUAACCAGGCGUUGGUAGAUACUUCAGCCCUAUCAGCACAGCCAGCACUUUGGAGUCCCCCGCAGGAGGCAGAAAAAGAAAGAAAAGAACCCACCCCGUCCCCUCCCCAAAGCAGCAGGCAAUCGCAGCUGUUCUCAAGGAGAAGGUAUGUCUUGUGGGGAUCUGUUCAAGCUCUCAAAUACCACCCUAAGAAGCUAUAUAAGGUGCUAGAGCCUCUUCAUGAACCCUGACCGCCUCCAGUUCACAACCAGAACCAGCAAUACGCUGCAACAGUGAAAGAAAACAUUGUUCACAGGAAAAAUCCACACACCUGGCAAGGUGCGGAUCUGCCCCACCACAUCCAAAGCUUAGAGUAUUCUGAUCUCAAAAGGUCCAACCCGUGUCCUUCUGGGCAGCUAAGAGACGGUUGCGAGUAACUGAUGACAAAAAUAGCAGAUGAGUCUUUCAGGGGAGGAACUCUGUUCCUUGUUCAGCUGCACAGCAGUGCAGCCAGUUCUCAGUAGGCACAAAGUGGAUGCCCCAUCGCUGUCUAACUAGCGAUUCUUGCUGGAUGUUGAUCUACGCAAGAGCUGUUUAAUCUUCCUUUCCUGAGCAAACUCACUUAGAAACUAGCCACUGCCCAAUGGCAAGCUAAAGGAUGAAAACCAAUUGCGUGAGAGCUGACUCCAGCUAAAACUGGUAUUAUUUGUCAGGGUACCUGAAACAUUUUGAAGGCUUGCGUCGUUGAUGCCACUGCCCUUUUUUAAACUGCCGUACCAACAAUCAGUCAAUUUAGUUUCUAAUCUGAGAGUUCUUUUAGCCUACCUGCUGGUAGUAAACUCCUUUAUAGCAGUGAAUAACGCCUUACAAUGGUUCUGGUUGGCUAGGAAAACCCGCACCACCCUGGCAAUCCACCACCAGUGAAUUAGGCUCCCGCCAGCCUCAUUUCUGUCACUUCGUGCGAGCACUGUGCUAUACCUAGUCCAAAAAUACAACCCAGUACUUCAGGGAACUCCAUCACAUCACCUCAGCAGCAGAGACUGCUGUAAGUCAGUCAGAGCAGACUUCUGCUCUUGGCACUGGCUUCCCACAGCAAUACCAAGUCAAUUAAUUUGACUCCCAGUUCUUGUCAGUGGUCUGAGAUCCAGAUCCUUUAAAAAUCCUCCUAAAGCUCUGUGAUGACAUUUGGCUGACAGCUUUGCCCUUCAGGUAGAGCUGAGCUUUCUAUAAUAAGGUGCAGUUAUUUGCACAAGAGACAGAGAUUUCUUGCAGGAAGAUCUUUAGUUUGUGGGAUUAAUUGCCAUGCGAACUAAAUAACAUCAAAAUCUUCACCUGAUUUUUGAUGCAUGCACAAGGCAUGCUUUUGAGGCUCUGCUGUCUCUAGUAUAAACGCAGUCGAUGUGAAGGAGUAUUGACAAAAGCUGUAGCAGGGGAGGGGAAGCAGGGCUGGUCUAUACUGGGACCAGUUGAUGUUGGUCAAUGGAAGUAGGUAGUCAGCAGGCAGUCAAGUCAAAUGGGUUCCAGACAUCAGAAUUUCUUAAGUCAGUUCCUUCAAUCUGUGCCAACAGCGUGGGAGGAGGUAUUGUGGAAGCAGGAAACAAAUCUGCUUUUCGUCCAGAUAAGGCCAAAAAAGAAGGAACUCUCCAAAAAUGUGAGACAUAAGCAUGAGUUUUAUCAAGGACCGUGUUCCCCCAACUGCAGCUCUAGCAUCCAGCCUUACUGCUUGCCCUCUUAUAACCUUUCUUGUGCCUUCUUGAUGGGAGUUUUUUAUUCCAUAUUAAAACACUGUCCACUGGCAAGAAUGAGGCUGAACCCCCCUGUAUACUACGUGCAUUCCUGGAUAUCACAUUUCAAAAAAGUUCCAGUAGAGCUUGAAAACCUACAGGAAAAAGUCACAAGGAUGAUGAGAGGAACGCAAUGGCUUUCAUGCUAGGUAAGGCUGUAUAGGGUAGGCCCUUGCAUCUUGGAAGAAAAACAAUAGGUAUUGAAGUGACAGAGGUCUAUAAAACUGUGAAUAGCAUGGAGGCAAAUAGGGAACAAUCAUACUCUGCUUCUCAUUAAAAAAGAACUAAAAAGAACUAACCAGCAUCAAAUGAAAUUAUAAUAUUUUGUAUUCUAAAAGAUAUACUAGAGAACAUGUAUUUAAACUAUGUAAUGUCGUUUCACUAUGUAUCAGAGGUCAAAAGUGUAUGUAAAUGGUAUAGGAACAGGUCCAUUGAUGGCUAUUAAAAUGAAGACUCAGAUGCAACCUUUUGCACUGGAGGUUUCUAAAGCUUUGAUUUUUCAUAAGCUGGGAAGAAAUGUCAGGGUAAAGACUGGUAAAUAAAUGUCCCAUUUCUUAAAUCGUUCGGUAAGGUAAAUGACCAUUUCCAACACUGGAAGAAUGGGCAAGAAUGACCAAUUUGUGUAUGAUCAUCCUGUUGUCCCAACCAUUAUUGUGGAAUGGGGACCCCCACUCCAGUA
This is a long non-coding RNA of Harpia harpyja (harpy eagle), 3804 nucleotides long. RefSeq lists it as uncharacterized. Lineage: Eukaryota; Metazoa; Chordata; Aves; Accipitriformes; Accipitridae. The transcript has 5 exons. The record is from RefSeq and is a predicted model, not a curated record.